CUCUCCCUCUCUUUCGAUCUCCCGAUCUCAACCGUCUCUUUCGAUCUCCCUCCCUCUCUCUCCCUCUCCCUCAAUCUCCCUCCUUUACUUUUCUGAUGAUUUGAUUGUAAGGACACAGGAUCUCUCAUCUUCCACGCUUCAACCCACGCCCCAAUUUGUCUUUCCAAUCUUCCAAGCUCUGGAAUCUUCCUCUCUCUCUCUCUGUCUCAUCUCUUCCUAACUUUCUCUAGUCAUCGCCUCCGGCUAAACCGCCGGAUUUUCACCGGGAUCCACCCUGAAUCUUAUGCCAUUCUCGCCUUAUAGUGAGCUUAAUCAGGACAGGCAUCUUGUGCACAAACGAGAUGGGUAAAACUCCACUCCAGUGACUCGUAAUAGCAUAAUCUAUUAUUUCAGGGCAAUGUUGCCAUGGGUGAGUGGUUGAAUAAGUAGUGUUUGGCAUCUAUGUAUGUAGAGUGCAUAAUUUUCAUCAGCUGGAAAGGUAUUUGGUUGAAUAUCUUCAUAUGUAGCAUGAUAUAUAUAAAUCCCUUGAUAUUUCAGGGCAAUGUUGGCAUGGGUGGGUGGUUGAAUAAGUAGUGUUUGGCAUCUGUGUAUGUAGAGUGCAGAAUUUUCAUCUGCUGGAAAGGUACUUAAGAGAUGCUAGAUUUGGUUCAAUUUGUAUGGAGAUACUAAUGUAUUUACUUGGGCCAUGUAGAUGACGCAUAGGUGCAGUAUAUGGAUCGUGUACGCCUUGGGAAAUGGUGAAGGGUGGGAAGCUAAUCUUCUCAUUUGAUGCAACAAAGAAAGCUCGCUUUGGCGUGGUUGGUAUGAUAUUAUCCUUCAAGAUUAGGUUGCAAGACUGCCAAUUCCUUAUGGACUUCUGAGUAAUCAAGACACAAGAACAGAACACAGUUCUAUUGGGGUUUUUGAUACUGAAUAUUUCUUGCUCAUUCUGCUUAUGGAAUACUGAUCUCAUCUUGUCUGUCUCAUGAACAAACCUCAUCAAAAUUUGAACCCACGCUUCAAUCGUUUAUCUAGUGCACAACAACAAUUUAGAUCCAUGUAGGAUACUGGAUAAGCUGAUGAAUCCCAUGGCAUUUGACAUCAGGUUAGAUGGAUGCACAUAUCAUUCUCUCGACUUGAAGAGCUUUUUAUUUUAUUUUAUUUUAUUAUUCUCCAACACCUGAUACUGAAUAUAACAUUUUGCUCACUGGUGGGAGUUUUUGGAAUGGCCAAUCAAGUCAUUGAGAACCAUCCAUUGUCAUCUAACAUUUAGCUUGCAUCACUGAUUGAACUGUUGAAUAUUUUUGUUACCAGGGAGCUGGUGUCAUUUUCUUGAAAACUUGUUUGUUAUUCCAUGAAUAGGAAAAUACUAGGUGUUC
Long non-coding RNA from Magnolia sinica, 1358 nucleotides. RefSeq lists it as uncharacterized. The record is from RefSeq and is a predicted model, not a curated record. The transcript has 3 exons. NCBI's taxonomy places the organism in Eukaryota, Viridiplantae, Streptophyta, Magnoliopsida, Magnoliales, Magnoliaceae.